GGGGGUUUCCGCCCCUUAGUGCUGCAGCUAACGCAUUAAGCACUCCGCCUGGGGAGUACGGUCGCAAGACUGAAACUCAAAGGAAUUGACGGGGGCCCGCACAAGCGGUGGAGCAUGUGGUUUAAUUCGAAGCAACGCGAAGAACCUUACCAGGUCUUGACAUCCCGUUGACCACUGUAGAGAUAUAGUUUCCCCUUCGGGGGCAACGGUGACAGGUGGUGCAUGGUUGUCGUCAGCUCGUGUCGUGAGAUGUUGGGUUAAGUCCCGCAACGAGCGCAACCCUUGAUCUUAGUUGCCAUCAUUUAGUUGGGCACUCUAAGGUGACUGCCGGUGACAAACCGGAGGAAGGUGGGGAUGACGUCAAAUCAUCAUGCCCCUUAUGACCUGGGCUACACACGUGCUAC
Molecule: ribosomal RNA, 404 nt
Filed under: Lysinibacillus sphaericus
Lineage: Bacteria; Bacillati; Bacillota; Bacilli; Caryophanales; Bacillaceae
Description: bacterial SSU rRNA
Rfam family: Bacterial small subunit ribosomal RNA
Source: RNAcentral